GUUCGGAAGGGAUAACCGCUGAAAGCAUCUAAGCGGGAAGCUCGCUUCAAGAUGAGAUCUCCCAUCCUUUAUGGAGUAAGGCCCCCGGCUAGACCACCGGGUUGAUAGGCCGGAAGUGGAAGCGUGGCAACACGUGCAGCUGACCGGUACUAAUAGGCCGAGGACUUGCCACA
This 173-nucleotide ribosomal RNA is filed under the name Actinomycetota bacterium. RNAcentral describes it as "partial 23S ribosomal RNA". It matches the Rfam family "Bacterial large subunit ribosomal RNA", at positions 2753 to 2925 of the family's 2925-position model. Lineage: Bacteria; Bacillati; Actinomycetota. The record is from RNAcentral.